AUCAGCAUGUCGCGGUGAAUACGUUCCCGGGCCUUGUACACACCGCCCGUCACACCAUGAGAGUUGGCAAUACCCAACGUACGUGAUCUAACCCGCAAGGGAGGAAGCGUCCUAAGGUAGGGUCAGCGAUUGGGGUGAAGUCGUAACAAGGUACC
This 155-nucleotide ribosomal RNA is filed under the name uncultured bacterium. RNAcentral describes it as "partial 16S ribosomal RNA". It matches the Rfam family "Bacterial small subunit ribosomal RNA", at positions 1348 to 1500 of the family's 1533-position model. The record is from RNAcentral.